Molecule: non-coding RNA, 46 nt
Organism: Picea glauca (white spruce)
Lineage: Eukaryota; Viridiplantae; Streptophyta; Pinopsida; Pinales; Pinaceae
Source: Rfam
AUAAUGGUGUCUUUAGACACCACCUUCUGUCUUCAAAAAAUUAUUU